ACUUUCAAUGCAGGCAGAAGCUUUGACUGGCUAAAGGAAACCGAAUAACCCACUGAAUUGAUCCAGUUGCUAUUCCUGCUUCUUUGAGUCAUCUUUCACCACUUCUGCCAUCCUGUAUCCUGUUUUGUUGAUAAAUUCCUCAAGAUCCUCAAUCAUUCCCAUGCCCAAGCCCCAAGCUUCUCAAUUGGCCUUCCCUCCAAGGUUGCUGAAUUAACUGACAUUGGUUCGUUCUGAAAGCCCUUUUUAAGACUUGAUCUCUGAGAUCACACCUACUUAAACCUCCAUCAACCUGUGCGCUGAUGCAAUGGCAAAAUAAAUUGCAUAGUGUUCAGCACUAUUGUUUAGUAUCAAUCCGCAAUAGAAAGAAGCAGAAGAAGCUGCAGGUUAUUACUCCCAGAUUCUCUAUUAAAGGAGAAAAAAACUCCAAAGUAUUCUUUUUCCCUAAGAGGUAUUGUGCAUCUUGUAGUCGAGGUAUCCAUAGCAGCACACACACCGCUGACAUGAAGCAUCACUGUGAAAACUACUCAUACAGUAGAGUAAGAUCUGUUGAUGUAUGGGGGUUUGAUGAAGUCAAGCCUGCAGGGUGGGAGAGUUACAGCAUAGACGAGGUUACUGUUAAGACACAAGGACGCUAGCACUCACACAAUGCGAUAAGGUAAUUCCCUAAAUCCUAUCCUAUUGUACUCCUCUGUCCCUCAAAUACAAAGCAUGCUCCCUAAACGGAUUAAAGUAGUUUGGAGAACGUGUCUGUGUGUGUGUGUGACCCUUCAGCUCCAUUAGAUUGUAUGGGAUCCUUAUCUAUCGCUAGUCUGGCAUCUCGAAAUAACCUUGUAUCUGGACACAGACACACAAUCAUAAACAACACUUACCGGCUGUGUGAUGACAAGGACAAAGAGAGAGAAACUGAAAGUGAAAAGGAAGGUGAUAAAAAAGGAGGGACUGUUACCGAACUAGGUGGACCUGCAAAUCCAUAGUACAUCUAUGUUUGAUUUUAGAUUUGUCUUACCUCCUAUAUAUUUGGAUUCAACACAUUUACACGUGUUUGUGUGUGUAAGUGUUGCAAGUGUGUCUGUUUAUAAGUCUGUUCUUCCUGUGGUUCUAUCUGCAUACCACCGUGCGUUGAUAGCGCAGUAAUGGCUUUCGGCGCACUGCCGAAAAAAAAGGAUUUUUUUUCAAAUGGAGUCCGAGGAAGAAGCAGGGAGGAUAGGACAGCCGAUGUCAACAUGGAGAGAUGAGAUAAAGUAAGUUUAGCGGCAGAGGGGGGGGUCGGCGGCCAGGACUGGACCCACGGAAGAGGCUGCUGAUGGCAAAGAUAAAAGUGGACUCUGGAUGCUUUGAUCCCAUCAGCAUCAGGAAGAGCCUGAUUACAAACUGACAGGCUCACUGAGUGACCAACUGCGCAUAUGUCUGUUAUCCUUAAUGUUAAUGGAGACGUUUGAUUGACUGCAAGCUAGUGGCCCUUGUGAACAAAACAUGUUGAGGAACUAAGGAGCCACAUCAGCUAAAUGAGGAUUAAAAAAACGUCCUCUUUUAUAUUUUCUUGUUCGGGAGCCUCUUCUUUUUCAGGGUCUGACUGUGGUUCAAAACAAUAUGGUUGCAAGAUUCUAUCUUUAUCUGCAAUAGCCAUAUUUCUACAAAGGUAAUGUGUAGCUAGGCAAGCAACAGCUAGGCAAGCGCAUCUUUGUGUAAAAAGGCCUUAUGGAGUCUAAUGAAAGACCGCUCGGCCGAGUCAACAGAUCUGUUGAGUUCUGUCUCACAUUAUUGUCUACAGAACAUUGUUAAACUAAAGUAGAACAUUAACACACGUUAAGCCCUGAAACCGAUCUGCAUUUUUGGUUUUCUACUGUUUGGUGCCUCAAGCUACCCCUCAAGCAGGCCAAAUGUCUAAAGUGUCUAAAAUUUUAGUUAGUUUUGGUAACGUCAAAAUCCCCAAAAGUAAAAAAAAAGCUGACAGUUCACUCAAAUGAACCUGCUGUCAGGUCUACCAGUUAAACUGAGUGACAUAAAUUCAAGGGACCGACUAUUGACUAAUAUUUGACACAUUCCCUCUUUGUCCCUGACCUGCUGAUGCGAAACAGUGACGUCUUGCAAAGAACAUCUCUGCCCUGAAGCAGCCAGUUCGUACUUAACCCUUUAUGUCGCACACAUUAUGCUGACCCUUCCUACACUUCCAGUACCCAUAUUUCUUCUCUCAUUGCUCCGCCCCCCUGUCUAUUAUCACUUUCUCAGCCUGUGGCCUCUGUGCAGCUCUUUCCCACUGGGUACUCUCAAUUUCUGUCUGUCCAGUACGUUUCUCAUACACUCCAUUCCUUUGACUUGCUCUGUGUUAUUCUCUUCCUCUCUCUCCACAUAUCUGCAGAGGAGACAGGUCAGGACUCAAAAUGGGGUGGUCCGACCUUUUUUGUGGUAUUCAAAACAGAGUGAGAAUAUCACCAUCUCAUGUUCCCUCUAUAAAAUAUGGUGUGGAUUUAUUUUGCUGCCUCUGCCACCUUAGCCUCUCCUUCUCAAGAGCUAUUAAGGGGUGUCCCAGGUCUUCAGCGAAUAAAAGGAAGGACUUAAAGACAUUCUAAGAUUACUGCAAGUGAAUAUUUAAAAAGUUGGGUGAUCAAAGGGUGAUUUGAUGGGCAAAGAGGAGUUUUGCUAAAUACUUUUCAAGGCAAGACUGUUCUAAACUUCCUAAUGUGGCUAAAACCUCAACCAUUUUAGGUGACGUAUUACGGCCACUUCUAGGUUAGUUGAAUGUCUCAUGUUAUCAGUGGCAGGACUAACCGCUUGUACAUGAAAAAAAACGAACCAAAACCAUCUUUGAAAGAACAGCUCCAUAGCAAUACUAAGGAGUAAAAGGGAAGCUGGAAAGAUUUUACAACUGAUUCCUCAAAUUUACAUACCUAUGUGUGUAAGUUUUGCAUGAGAAAAAGCUGAAAGGAAACAGGAAACAGCAAUAAACGCCAGUCAGUUGAUCUGAUAAAGGGGAUAUGGAAAAAGGCCUGCUGCAUAAAUUCUGACAUUGCAGCAUUUAACUGACAUUAAUGACCAUCUUUAUAAGCUUAACUUGUUGAACUAAACGUUAUUCUUUCACACCACCACCACUAAAUAUAUUUUGUGAAUCACCUAUUCAUCAAUAUGAUACAUGUGUUUGUGUAGGUUUAUGGAUUGUUGUCACCUAACUAAUGGUAAUUAAAAUGUUAUUGUUGUAGCCAAACGGCCAGAGCUGUGUUGUUACCACCCUCUCGACUGGAUCUGCUCUGGACCUCUGAUUUGCAAACAUUCUGAUUUUUAAACUAACCAAUGGAGCUGCAUUGAAAGUAUGUGAUGUUUGAAAGAAAGACUCCAUUAUGAAGAUUUAAGACACUUGAUGAAAAGAGUGAAGUUAUGUUAACUGUAAAAACAAGCGGGUUCACUGACACAGAGAGAGAUGUGAGAGAUGUCUGUUGAUAUUGACAAGAGUCAUUGGUCGCUAUGGUAACAUUGGUUGUUCUUCCUUUUCAAUAACAAAAGGUUUUCUCUGGGAAAGUGGGCAAUACAAGCACAAUAUGGUGCCCUUUGUUGCAAAUCCUGUUACACCUCGAUGACAUGCACCUUCAAAUGUCCCCAGAUUUACCAUAUGAAAGUGACAAUCAUAAGUAUGGUGACAUAAGGUUUAGAAUGAAGUGGUGACAAUAAAAUGGCUGCUUGUGUGGAAUAUAUCUGGUCAAAGUCCAUCAGACCCUAUCUUCUGCAGGCUCAUAAAUAUUAAGGGGUUUUACUGGUUGGGUACCCACUGAUUACUUCUUAAUCGUCAAGGUCAUUAGCACUGUUUGUGUGGCUAAUCAGUUAGCUGUACACCAGAUAUUCUUGGGGGUGACUCUGGCUCUAGCUCCUCAUUCGGCCUUCUCUCUUCAACUGUGCCAAGUCUAGCCCACUUGUGGAAGUGUUAAAUAAUCUUAAGGAGCGAGCCAAGAAUGUGUGCAUUCUUCUGUGUGUUUGUGCGACCAGUAAAGCGGAGGGAGCUAGUACUCAUGUUGGACCGUGGCUAUGCGGCCAUGCAAUCUAAGGGGCGUUGGGGGGAAAUUGAUUGAUCCCAUACACACUGAGUUCUCUCUGACACUAACCUCUUCUCAUGAACCUUGUGACCUCUAUUCUGAACUGAAACUGUUCCAUAAUGGUACAGUGUUUCCACAACUUGAAACAUGUGUUCUUUAUCAACCACAAGAGUAAGUAGUAAGUAGAAUGUGGUUGGAUCUGUUUUAACUAUCAAAGGUCAGUUAUUGGCCAACUGCCCUUCAGUGACUUUGGGGCUGAGCCAGUCACAUUGGCAGUCUGGGGUCCCUCCAGAAAGCAAUGGGCAGGAGACCAUAUUGUUUGAACUGACAAACAUUAAAAGAGGCUGAGAUGAGGAAAUUACUUGGUGUUACACCUGCAGCUAAAAAAAACAGAUGAGCAGAAUUGUUUUUACAGAGAAAUGUGCAAAUAGAAGAAGAGUCAAGUGAGCAUUCGACAGAUGGUUCUGCGAAGGAGCCUCACAUUCUCACAUCAAUGUGUCAAGAAAACGUAGCUUGGUCAGCAUCAUGAAGCCCAACAUGUGACCCCCUUAUCAUCCCUCAGGCGCCAGUUUUGCACGUGUCAUCAUAGCGGGUUGAUAUACACUCUAAACACGUAUUUUGGCAUUAAAAAUAAGUUAUUAAAGUAGCAAAAUAACAAAAGUUAAAAAAAUACAGUUGACAUUUUUAAAUGACUAUGUACGCCCCUAAUGUAAGUUGGUCACAUGACUAAAGAUCGACAUGAGAAAAUAUCAAUGCUUCCUUUCUGUUGAGCAGAAUAUACUUAACUGCUCUGGCAGCGGGACCCACAAUCUCGCUCAUUGACAAGCCACGACCCAAAUUGAGGGAUGAUUUCAACUCGAAUUUAUUUAGUAAAAAGAUAGUGCAGUUUGAAUUUGAGAAAGUGCACAGAAUACAAAUACAUGUCUAUACUAUAUCAGAGGUAUUCAACAUCAUAAGACAUUUUUUUCCCAACCAAUUUUUUUUUUUUUUGUCUUUAAAUACACAUUUACAUGAAUCCAACUUAUUGUAGCGAACGCAUAAAUUGAUGAAGAAGAUUUUAUCUUUCAGUCCGCAAUGCACACAUUCAGCUGGGCACCGUUUCAUUCACAGCACCUUUCAUGCAAAUACGACAGCACAGGCACCAGCCAAUCAGCGUUUAUUCUCACAUCUAAAGAGCAUGAUGCUCAAAAAUAAAAGAUGGCGGACCAAACUCCGUAGAAUAGGGGGUCCCUGCUCCAUCUCGCCAUCAGUUUGGGGGAUCUUAGCCUGAAAAACAUUGAAGACCCCUGUACUAUAUAAUAGUAGUACUAAUGCUAAACCAAAACAACGAUGUUAGAGAGGGAAAAUGAAAUUAACAAGCUGUAACCGUUGUUGCUGCCGGAGUUUCUGAGGAACUAUCUUUGCAUGAGAUAUCACACACAAGGUUGUAUGAGAAUACUUCGUUUGAAUACAUGUAAUAUUUGCUUCACAUAUACUUUGUUGUCCCUAUGCUCCUAAAGAGAGCAUUAACCAGAUGUGCUUUGGCUUGUAAUACAACUUAUCACAACCAGUUAGAACUUUCUCACAUUAAUAAUGUAAUGGAUAGUUUUGAUCAUAUUUUUUAGUGUACAAAAUAUAAAUGUUUGAUAUAUAUUGUGCUUAAUAUUGAUGAGAAUUCAGGAGUUAAGACUGAGAAAUACAUAUAUAAAUCCUGUAUGCUGUAUAUAAAACCGUGUAGAGGACUACACACUCGCUUAGUAAAAUAUAAUAUAUAAUGCUUAGGAUGGGGAUGCAGCUCAGUUCUACACAUUAUUGAAUAUGUGCUUUCUUGUGUCGGAGCCUAACAUAUGUCCCACUGUUCUCAUACAAAUGUUUAAGCCAGAAGCUUAAACUAGGCAGAAAAAAAAAUAACACAAUGUACUUCAGGUUUCCUAAAUGGCUCAAACGCCCAAGCAUUGUACAAAUUUGCCUAUGUGUGCUCUCACAUACACAAUCAUGCCCCAUAAGUAAAUCCAAAAUGACGCCUCUGCUUGUGCAUGCCAGGAACAUCCAGAGAGCAUGCUGGAGAGAGAGAGAGAGAGAGAGAGAGAGAUUUUGAUUUUAGAAAACCUUUAUUUUACUUAAAAACAAUAUGAACGAUCAAAAAAAACAAAAAAAAACAUAGCCGUACAAACCAGUAGCUUCUCACAUUGUAUUGAAAGGAGGUUUAAAAACUAGUUCUUACUAGCACACAACAUAAUAUUUCAUCGUAGCACUAUUUUUCAUUAAAAUCUUUUAUCCAUGCUAUUGAAAAACCUAAAAUCAACCCAGAUUCUAGCUCUGAUUAGUGCAAUGAAAAUAUUGAGGGCUUCCUGCCCUACUCUUUCUUCUACUUUUUUUUUCCUACUUGUGUAGAUUAACCACUUGGUCGGAGAGGCAAAACUGGCAAUCGGCUUCCAUUUGAAGGCGUUCGCUUUCUUGUAGCCGACUCCUAAAAUGAAAGCUGCCCUGGACCAGGUCUCACCAAACCCUUUAAAUACAUCCUGCAGUGUGUUAAAGAGGCGACAGAGCCUCUCACAAUAAUAAAAACAGUGGAACACAGUCUCCUCCUCCUCACAGAACAGACAACGUUUAGAGACUGUAGGCUUAAUCACAGAAAUAAAAGCAUUAACAGCAAUGGCACCGUGUAGAAUCCUCCACUGAAGAUCUCCGAUUCUCUUUUUUAUGGGAGGUUUGUAUAAAACCCUCCACACUGGUUUCGCACCAAUGUCUAAGUUUAGUUUUUGCCUCCACACAGUGUCAGCUCUCUGGUCCAGUUUGUUCUUUUUGAGCACUUUUACACAUUUUUUGUAGAUUAUUUUACCCUUCACCAUAUGGAAGUCCAAGGGUUUGCGAUCUGCUUCUUGGAGUAGUGGUCCUAAGGCCCCAUCCAGGUUCGGAAUACAUCCUAGAUGCGGAAAGGGAUCUGUAGCAUCUGGAGCCUCCUCUCCUCUUCCGUACUGCUGCAGCAUCUCCAUCUCGUCUUCCGUCAGCCUCUCUGCCCACCCGCUUAAGAUCCUUGUGCUCUGCCGGAUAGAUUUUAGCCUGAGUCGUGACGCCACUGCCGAUGCGUCUGCCAGUUCAGGACCAACUACAUCCACCAGUCCCCCCAGGGCGGUGGUUCCAGAGGAGCACAGCAUGCUGGUCAGUCCUGGUAUCGUGCCGUCCUGGAUAUCUAGCCUGGCUCCGAACACAAGCGGUUCCUGAAGCAGCCAGUGUAGCGAGGACGUGGGUUCUGGUCUCUCCCAUUUAAAACAGUUCCAUGCUUUAAGAAGUGACUGAUAAAACGGCGAUAAUCCACCCAAUUUACAAAGGUUAAAAUCCAUUAGAAAAAGUGCGGUAUCCAGUCCCAGACCAGCUGCAUUCCUUAAAAUACAGUCUGUCACCCCUAUCCAUACCACAUCUGUCUGGCCUGUGAGAUACCUUUGUAAAAACUGGAUCCUGAAGGUGGUCACUCUGCUCUCGAUAUGCACGAGCCCUUGCCCCCCUUCCUCUUUGGGUAAAAAGAGUACGCUCUGUGGGAUCCAGUGCAGCCUGUCCCAGAAAAAAAUCUGUGAGGAUGGCCUGUAGCUUCUGUGUGAGGCCUUUAGGGGGGUGCAUGCAGGCCAGUUUAUGCCACAGAGCCGAUGCCACCGGAUUGUUUAUCACCAGAGUCCUGCCUCUAUAUGACAUCUGUGACUUCAGCCACUUACACUUAGCCAGUCUUCCCUUUUUCUCCACAACCCCCCUCCCAGUUCUUCUUAACAAUACAUUCAUUCCCUACAUACACGCCAAGGUAUUUAAACCUGUCUUUUUUCCAGGUCAGCCCCCCCGGUAGGCUGGGCAGACCCUCCCUCCAGUUCCCUACUGACAGUGCCUCGCUCUUCACCCAAUUAACCUUUGCGCCUGACAAGGUGCCAAAGUUUUUAACAACUGUGGUCAGUGCACUGACCUCUUUCUGGUUUCUAACAAAGAUGACAAUGUCGUCAGCAUAAGCUAAUAAAAUAAAACCUUUAUUAAAACCCUUUAAAACUUGACCUCCAAGGGUCUCAACCCGGUCAAAAGCCUUUUCCUGGUCUAACGAACUGACACCAGUUCUAAUGCCCAAAGAACCAGAGAUAUUCAAAAUCUCACGAAUUAAUUAAUUAAUGACACUUUGUCCAGUAUACUCCUACCAGGCACACAGUAGGUUUGGUCUUUGUGGAUGACCUAGGUCAUCACCUCUCUCAGCCGGUUGGCCAGUGCCUUGGACAGUAUUUUGUAAUCCGAGCAGAGAAGUGACACUGAACGCCAGUUCUUCAUUUUCUGCAGGUUUCCUUUUUUCGGUAGCAGAGUUAUUACUGCCCUUCUGCAACUGAGCGGUAGCAUUAUGUCUUUAAAACUCUCUUUCAACGCGGUUAAAAGAUCCUUCCCCAUCUCGCUCCAGAACUCUUUAUACAACUCCACCGGGAUCCAAUCUAUUCCUAGGGCCUUCCCGCCCUCCCUGCCCCGCAGAGCAGCGUACAGUUCAUCUGCCAUCAGAAGACCCUCCACCCCGGCAUUCACCUCUUCCGGGACCUUUGGUAGCUCUCCACAGAAAUACUCAAACAGUUCGAUAUUGUCCUCAUAUUCGUCAGAGUAAAGUUCAGAGUAAAAACUUGCCGCUCUCCUCCGGAUCUUGUUUGUGUCUCUGAGCUCCCGCCCUGAAUUAGAGCGUAUAGCGUGGAUAACGCUGCUCUGAAGUCAAAAUUCGGCUACAGGAGCUGGUGGUCAGUAACAACACAGAAACAUAAGUUUAAAUUUGGUGCAGGUACCAUGUAUUGCAAAAUAAUUAAACAAAAUAUUUACAAAUAGAAAUAAUGAAAGAAGAAAAAAGAAAAGAAUCAAAAUAUUUACAGACUGCAGUUGAACCGGUUAUAUUUAAGCACACUUUGUAGUGGUUGUUCACGCUAUACUAAUACAAAUUACCGGAAAUACCACACAAAAACAAAAGGGAAAAAGAACCGCCCCUGCAAUGGAUGGUAUACAAGACCAUGGAAUGUUUGUAUUGAGUAGUCCGUAGGUUAUUGUUUAUCAAGUGAAAGGAUCUGUAUGUGGGAUUGAAGCACUAGUCUAUGGAGGAGUGUGCGGGGGCAGGCUGUGGACAACCUUCCUACCAGACCAGUAGGAUGGCUAUUCAGUGGAUGCUACACGGAUGGUAGGCUCCCAGCAAUGGUAAUCCAGCUCGCCAUCAUUCGUCUCCAGACACUAAGGUAUUCUGUCCACAGCUGCCGAUCAGCUUCCCCACACCUCUGAAUGAGGAAGACACUGCAGCCUAGUUUAAACUCGUGCUCUACUGCGCUAUUGGCCAAGCACAGUCACGUGGCUGGGGUUGCGUGAGAUCACAUCUUAAAGGGCCAGGGGACGGCAAAACCAAUGUAAUAUAUUGCCAGAUUUCAACCUGGGUCACUUUUUUGGCCUGUGAGCCUUCCCUACUCCUUGUCUUUCUCUUCAGCUGAGGAAUUUUAAUCACCUCCUCAUCUGCCUCCAUGUCCACCUCACUCCCCUUGAACCUAGUUUCUUUCACCAGUUUUUCACUCUCAUCUUUUCCUUUUUCCUUUACUAUUUUCUGUCUCCUUCCCGUCUCCACCUGUCUUCCAGUGCACACUUGGCUGUUGCCCUGCCCUUGUGCACUCACCUGAGCCCCCACUGUCCCCUCUUCUUCUACCUGCUGGACCGAUUCAGUUUCCUCUUUUCCAACCUGCUGGACCACCUCUGUCCCCUCCUUUUCCAUCUGCUGGACCACCUCUGUCCCCUCCUCUUCCGCCUGCUGACCCAUCUCUGUCCCCUCCUUUUCGACUUGCUGGUCCACCCUUUUCCCCUCUUUUUCCACCUCCUGCACCCCGCUUGUCUCCUCUCUGCUCACCUGUUGCACGCUACCUGCCUCCCCCUGUUGUCGCUCCUGGCCGCCUUGCUUGUCUCCUCUGUCCUGCUGCUGGCUUGGGUUUUCCUUGGCGCCAUCCUGCUCAGCAGGUUUCUUUUGAGGACACGCUCUGACGCUUCUGACACCAAUCUGUUAGUGAUUCCCAGAGUAAAUACAAAUCAUGGGAAAGCAUCAUUUAGUUACUACGCAACAAACAAGAUCUUAGUGAUCUUGAAGGCUUAUGUAGUGGAAGCAUAUCAGUGAUAUACUUUGGCCCUAAACCAUGUAGUGAUUUAUAUGUGAGCAGUAGGAUUUUGAAAUUAAUUCUCUGACAUACUGGGAGCCAAUGUAAGGAUUUAAGAAUUGGUGUAAUGUGCUCAUAUUUUUUGGUCUUUGUUAGAACUCUAGCAGCAGCGUUCUGAACAAGCUGGAGGUGCCUGACAGUUUUUUUGGAAGACCUGCAAGGAGACCAUUACAAUAGUCUAGCCUACUAGUUAUAAAGGCAUGUACAAGUCUUGAGCUGACAUGAGCCCUCUAAGUCUUGCUACAUUUUUGAGGUGGUAGUAGGCCGAUUUUGUUACUGAUUUGAUGUGACUCUCCAAGUGUAAAUCUGAAUCCAUAAUAACCCCCAGAUUUCUGGCUUUAUUUGAUGUUUUCAGGGACAGAGAGUGAAGGUGUUGGGUUACUUUAAACCUUUCUUUUUUAGCACCAAAUACAAUGAUCUCAGUUUUGUCUUCAUUUAGUUGUAGGAAAUUUUGACACAUCCAGUCUUUGAUUUUCUCAAUGCACUGGCACAGAAGAUAGUCGUUUGGUGAUAGCGCUACAUCGAUUUGGGUGUCAUCAGGAAGAGAGAUGAUACAAGCAGCAUGGAGUGAAGGGGUUGUUAAACAAAAUAUAAUUGUUAGCUCUCCAAGUGUGUAUUUCCACACACCAAGUCAAGGGUGUGUUAAUGUGAACAUGACCAAAACAACAGAACAGCGUUUGUUUCACAGGAAAUCAUUACUCUACAGGAGCUGACAGGGGAAACAGUGCUGAUGGUAAUAUUUCGUCCAAGUCCACUCAGAGAAGACCUGUCCCCUCCUUUAUAAAGAAAAUAUAUGUAUGCAAUGUAUGUAUGUAUACGGUGCUGUCUUAUGACGUCGUCGUUAUUUUUUUAAGUAGGAAAAAUGUGUGUGUAAUUGUUUGCUCACACUGGCGAUGACAUUUUAUUUUGAGCAUGGUGUGAAAAUAUGGAAGUAAAUCUGUGUCAUCGGAUUUUGAAAGAAAAAGGUGAUUGAAUUUCUAGCACUGAAUAUUUAUGCAUUGAAAUCAUGUAUCUGAAUGUUUUUCAACGUUAAAAUAUUCAACCGCAAAUAAUUCAACCGAAAAAAAUUCAAUGCAAAAAUUCAAUGCAAAAAAAUUCGAACCGCAACAUCCGGGAACCCAAGGAAGAGCAAUCGAUUCUAGAUUCAAGAUCGGGAGCGUGCGUCAAGCAAAAGGAGCGAGCGCCCCAAUACAACUUCGGCUUGUCGACUAUGAUGACCGGAUUUCAGCCAUGUCCAUGAAGUUAAAGUUAAAAAGUUAAAAAGAAAGUUAAAACACUCAAUGAAGCCCCAUUAUUAAUGGACAUGGCUGAAAUCCGGUCAUCAUAGUCGACAAGCCCGAAUUGUAUUGGGGCGCUAUUUUAACGUUGAAAAACAUUCAGAUACAUGAUUUCAAUGCAUAAAUAUUCAGUGCUAGAAAUUCAAUCACCUUUUUCUUUCAAAAUCCGAUGACACAGAUUUACUUCCAUAUGAAAAAACUUUAAGCGCAAAAGAACAGAAAAGUGGAAAAAACAGCAAAUGCUGGUUUAGGAAAAGGAAUUAGGAGUUUCCAGGUUUGAAUCUCACAGUCUGGGAUUCAAAGCUUUUAAUAGGUGCAGUAAGAACGAUAAAGUGGACCCGGAUUGAGUCAAUGUUGUUUCAAGCAAUCACAUGAAGUCCGACAUCAUCGCUUCGUUGGGGCGAUCGAACUUUAAAACGCUAACCGUUUGUCCUUUAGCUAACAGAUAGUAGUAAAGAGGUGUCAGAGUGGCAGUUUACUUUCGCUAUGAAAGCAAUCCUGCAAAUUCUCAAGCAGUAAUGCAUAUACUGACUAAAGCUGAUAAAGCGGCUUUUAUCGUCUGAAUUUCAACACUGUAAACGUUUGCAGAUCAGAGGCACAUGUUUCUCAGGAAGCUUUAUAAACAAGGAAAACCUUAUGUUCUAUCAGUAUAAUUCUGCCCCUAAAUUCACAACACUACAAAUUAUUAGCAACCUAGCGCCUCAAACCACAUUACAUACGCAUACAAAUGGCUGAAAAAAUGGUGGAAAAAAUCCACUCUGUCUCUGUAGCUGCCGUUGAAACUGAUUGAACACUGUGUUCUCUUGCAGCAGCACACGUCGUGUAACUCCACAUAACCACACUGGGGAGCUGCAUAGAACAGUUCCCCCACUGCUGCCUCCCGAGCAGCAAGUUGCUGUUUUUAGGAUUGUGGCAAGGUAUAUUACACGGACACGCUUUGCCCUAUGUUUCCUGUGUCAAGCUGCCUUGUGUAAUGCUAAGCUAACUGUUUAGUGCCUGACCAGUGCAAGACAUGAAGUGUCUUUCCCCUGAAAGAAAUCACAUGUGAUUUUUUGUAUCACUCUGACUGCAUUGGCCUUUCUUAAUGCAGCCCAAAACAAUGUGAGACCAACGUGGCGAUUUAGACAAAUACAUGCAAGACACAUGUAAUGUACAGUGCAAAGUGAAAGUAUUCACAGCGCUUCAAUUUUUCCACAUUUUGUUAUGUUACAGCCUUAUUCCAAAAUGGAUUAAAUUCAUUAUUUUCCUCAACAUUCUACACACAACAACCAAUAAUGACAAAGUGAAAACUGUUUUGUGUAAAUCUGUUAAAAAUAAAGAACGAAAACACAACAUGUACGUAAGUAUUCACGGCCUUUGCUCAAUAAGCACCUUUGGCAGCAAUUACAGCCUCAAGUCUUCUUGGGUAUGAGUCCACAAGCGUGGCACACCUAUUUCUGGGCCGUUUCUCCCAUUCUUCUUCGCAGAACCUCUCAUGUUCCAUCAGGUUGGAUGGGGAGCGUCGGUGCACAGCCAUUUUCAGAUCUCUCCAGAGAUGUUCAAUCGGGUUCAAGUCAGGGCUCUGGCUGAGCCACUCAAGGACAUUCACAGAAUUGUCCCGAAGCCCCUCCUUUGUUAUCUUGGCUGUGUGCUUCGGGUUGUUGGCCUGUUGGAAAAUGCUCAGUCGCCCCAGUCUGAGGUCCAGAGCGCUUUGGAGCAUGUUUUCAUCGAGGAUGUCUCUGUACAUUGCUGCAUUCAUCUUUCCCUCAAUCCUGACUAGUCUCCCAGUUCCUCCCGCUGGAAAAAAAUCCCCACAGCAUGAUGCUGCCACCACCAUGCUUCACUGUAGGGAUGGUAUUGGGUAGGUGAAACCAGUGCCUGGUUUCCUCCAGACAUGAUGCUUGGCAUUCAGGCCAAAGAGUUCAAUCUUUGUUUCAUCAGACCAGAGAAUUUUGUUUCUCAUGGUCUGAGAGUCCUUCGGGUGCAUUUUUGCAUUACUUACAUUACAUUACAUGUCAUUUAGCGGACGCUUUUAUCCAAAGCGACGUACAAUAAGUGCAUUCAACCAUAGGGUACAAACUCUGGAGAAAGUGCAAUAUCCUCAAAUAAGCCAAUUUACAAUUUGCUAUAGAUGAGUAACGUUACAAGUACAAUUUAAGUGCUACAAUUUGUUAGUCUUUAGUUGAGGUAGAGUCUGAAGAGGUGUGUCUUUAGUUUGCGGCGGAAGAUGUGAAGGCUCUCUGCGGUCCUGGUGUCUUCAGAGAGCUCGUUCCACCAUUUCGGCGCAAGGACUGCAAAGAGUCCAGAUCUAGUCGAGUCGUUUUGCAAACUCCAGGCCGGCGGUAAUGUGCUUUUUACUGCGGAGUGGCUUCCGUCUGGCCACUCUACCAAACAGGCCUGAUUUGUGGAGUGCUGCAGAGAUGGUUGUCCUUCUGGAAGGUUGUCCUCUCUUCAUAGAACAACGCUGGAGCUGUCAGAGUGACCAUCGGGUUCCUGGUCACCUCCCUGACUAAGGCCCUUCUCCCCCGAUUGCUCGGUCUGGCUCGGCAGCCGACUCUAGGAAGAGUCCUGGUGCUUCCAAACUUCUUCCAUUUCCGGAUGAUGGAGGCCACUGUGCUCAUUGGGACUUUCAAUGCUGCAGAAAUCUUUCUGUACCCUUCGCCAGAUCUGUGCCUGGAUACAAUUCUGUCUCGGUGGUCUACAGAUAAUUCCUUGGACUAAAUGGCUUGGUUUAUGCUCUGAUAUGCACUGUCAACUCUGAUACCUUAUAUAGACAGGUGUGUGCCUUUCUCAAUCAUGUCCAAUGAACUGAAAUUAGCACAGGUGGACUCCAAUCAAGUUGUAGGAACAUCUCAAGGAUGAUCAGGGGUAACAGGAUGCACCGGAGCUAAAUUUUGAGUGUCAUGGCAAAGGCUGUGAAUACUUAUGUACAUGUUAUGUUUUCGUUCUUUAUUUUUAACAGAUUUGCAAAAGUUUGAAAAAAACAGUUUUCACUUUGUCAUUAUGGGUUGUUGUGUGUAGAAUGUUGAGGAAAAUAAUUAAUUUAAUCCAUUUUGGAAUAAGGCUGUAACAUAACAAAAAUGUGGAAAAAUUGAAGCGCUGUGAAUACUUUCCGGAUGCACUGUAUUACAUGUAUGUAUCAAUUUAACGUGUUAAAGAUUGCUACAUCAGAAAUGUUCCUUCUAUUUCUUAACACCCAUAAUAAUAUAUUGAUGGCCAUAUUAGUAUGUGAAUGGUGUGAUGUGCUGCCAGUGACAUUUGUUUAGGCUACAGCGUAUCUAACACUGGCUAUAAAAUGAAUGUUGAAAAUAAACAUAAAACCCUUUUCUCUCAGUGACUGCAGUUCUGAAUCCUGAAGCAAUGGCGGGUAUCAGUGACAGUGGGUCCGAAACUGUCCAAACAGAUCACCGCAAAGGCAAAAGACAUCUGCCGUCCACUCACAGUGUCUGCAUGUUCGCUUUGAACAAUGAAACCAUGUAAAAUGCUGCUGCCUCACAGCGUCUUGUUUUAACGGGAUUCCUGUGGACUGUCAACAAUGUGCAAAUACUUCCCUUUCAGCACCGUCAACUGAUUAUCUGGACACGCGGACAGUGGCUGGCAGUAGUUCAGUGGAGAUCAUUUUAUUAUAUUUUAUGACAUUUGACCAUCCACUGUUGACUGGGAGGAGCACACACAGAUGGAUGUGUUCUAACCUUCCUACGCAUUCACACACAUACACACAAAGACACAGACAGAGCAACACAUCGCGUUCAGUGUGGAGCUAAUCGUCUGUCAGUUCUAAUAUUCAUCAUCAGGCACGGGACAUAUGGUUGUGGUUUGAUCAGAAGACUGUGUAUAUGAUUGUGUGUAUGUUUGCGUGUAUUCUGAGAAAUAGAAAUAGAAAUAGAAAUCAUGCACACAAAAUGCAGAGAGAAAGGUUUGUUUUUUUCAAAAGAUCUAAUAUCAAACACCACAGCCAGCCAAAGAAAGUACAUUAUCAACUCUACCUUGAAAUGUGUCACCCACAAGGCACACUAACCCACCUCGAACGGAACAGUUUCAUCAACAAUGCAGAGGAAAUGUGAAGGUAGGUAGUAAAAAACGCAGAUGGAUGACAUUUUUUUAAUUUUCACACCUCGGGAAUCCGGCAGCAACAUUUCAAUCUGGAAAGACUUGUUAAAAUUUUAACAAGGAUUUACCGGCAUACAUAUUUAUAUUGCAAUGUUGUUUGGGGCUUUGACUCCAUCCUGCCGUAGAAUAGACAUGGGGCCGGAAUGCCAAGAUGAGAUGAGGCAUACCCCCUUUUGCGGUAGGAGGGGUCAGACUGACAGCAAAAGAGGAGACGAUUUUUUAACAAUUGCCAGGACUGAUGUAAUUGGUUUACAGUGAUUUUGCCCACGUCUGAUUGUAGUACCCAACCCCCGCCCCUAAUCAGCUGACCGUGCAUCUAUAGAGAGAGAGCCUUAGAGAGGCCACCUGGGAACAGCACAGCCUGUCCUGACUGAAUUUUUGACUAAGCUUCAUAUGUUGUCAAAGAGAAAGUUACCUAUAUGGUUGGGUUAAUGGCCACAGUCCAGGAUAUUUUAGCUAGGGCACAAGUUUUUAAAAAAAAUAUUAUAACAAAUUAUAUCUCCAAGGAGUGCUGCCACUGUAAUACUACAGAGAAUUAGCAUCC
Gasterosteus aculeatus aculeatus (three-spined stickleback) is the source of this 16093-nucleotide long non-coding RNA. NCBI's taxonomy places the organism in Eukaryota, Metazoa, Chordata, Actinopteri, Perciformes, Gasterosteidae. The record is from Ensembl.